RNAcentral lists this ribosomal RNA (253 nucleotides) under uncultured bacterium. RNAcentral describes it as "partial 16S ribosomal RNA". It matches the Rfam family "Bacterial small subunit ribosomal RNA", at positions 524 to 776 of the family's 1533-position model. The record is from RNAcentral.
UACGAAGGGGGCAAGCGUUGUUCGGAAUUACUGGGCGUAAAGGGCGCGUAGGCGGCUUAUCAAGUCAGGCGUGAAAUUCCCGGGCUCAACCUGGGGGCUGCGCUUGAUACUGAUGAGCUUGAAUGCGGGAGAGGGAAGUGGAAUUUCCGGUGUAGCGGUGAAAUGCGUAGAUAUCGGAAGGAACAUCAGUGGCGAAAGCGACUUCCUGGACCAAUACUGACGCUCAUGUGCGAAAGCGUGGGGAGCAAACAGG